UACGGAGGAUCCAAGCGUUAUCCGGAUUUAUUGGGUUUAAAGGGUGCGUAGGCGGCCAGAUAAGUCAGUGGUGAAAUCUCCUUGCUUAACAAGGAAACUGCCAUUGAUACUGUUUGGCUUGAGUAUAGUUGCUGUGGGCGGAAUAUGACAUGUAGUGGUGAAAUACAUAGAGAUGUCAUAGAACACCGAUUGCGAAGGCAGCUCACAAAACUAUAACUGACGCUGAGGCACGAAAGUGCGGGGAUCAAACAGG
Molecule: ribosomal RNA, 253 nt
Filed under: uncultured bacterium
Lineage: Bacteria
Description: partial 16S ribosomal RNA
Rfam family: Bacterial small subunit ribosomal RNA
Source: RNAcentral